Molecule: non-coding RNA, 544 nt
Organism: Cinara cedri
Lineage: Eukaryota; Metazoa; Arthropoda; Insecta; Hemiptera; Aphididae
Source: the annotation of a GenBank genome assembly
CUUUUCAAGAAUUUUUAAUUCUAUUGUUAUUACCUUCCACCCCGCGAAAUUGUAUGCUUUAUCAUUUCAGUAUAAUCUUUCAUUGUUUGCCUCAUUCAACCAUUGCUUCAUUACAUUGCUUCUAAAUCUUUUUCUAGUUAGUUUCCACUCAACUUUCGCUAAUACUGGUCUGUCUAUUACUGGCUCAAAUCAUUGAAUUUUCUGUGCCUUUACAAAGUUAUUUAUUUUCAGUCUUUUUUAAUCUUUUGAUUCUUUCGGUUUUUUCUCUUACGCCAGUAUUCCAGUCCGUCGUUAUAUAUUGGCCCACAGAGAAUUCUCAGUAUUUUGUUCUCAAACAAAUCAAAUAUUUUUUUUUGGGUUAGUACUGUUAACACACGUUAAAAUUCCUAUGUGAUAGGAUCAGUUUAAUAAUAGCCGUGUAAAGGCACAUUGGUUAUUCUUUAGAAGAAUAUUUAGACCACUCACAAUUUUUUUUAUAUUUACAUAAAAUGUACAUUGUAUAACAAUUGCAUAAUAAUUAAAUGUAAUUCAAGAAAAAAGACGU